GAACGGGUGAGUAACGUGGGCAAUCUGCCCUGCACUCUGGGACAACCCUGGAAACGGGUAAUACCGGAUAUGACUGUCCACCGGGUAUGGUGUAAAGUCCGGCGGUGCAGGAUGAGCCCGCGGCCUAUCAGCUAGUUGGUGAGGUAGUGGCUCACCAGGCGACGACGGGUAGCCGGCCUGAGAGGGCGACCGGCCACACUGGGACUGAGACACGGCCCAGACUCCUACGGGAGGCAGCAGUGGGGAAUAUUGCACAAUGGGCGAAAGCCUGAUGCAGCGACGCCGCGUGAGGGAUGACGGCCUUCGGGUUGUAAACCUCUUUCAGCAGGGAAGAAGGACGGUACCUGCAGAAGAAGCGCCGGCU
This 364-nucleotide ribosomal RNA is filed under the name Streptomyces intermedius. RNAcentral describes it as "bacterial SSU rRNA". It matches the Rfam family "Bacterial small subunit ribosomal RNA", at positions 100 to 498 of the family's 1533-position model. Lineage: Bacteria; Bacillati; Actinomycetota; Actinomycetes; Kitasatosporales; Streptomycetaceae. The record is from RNAcentral.